UAGCGAAAUUCCUUGUCGGGUAAGUUCCGACCCGCACGAAAGGCGUAAUGAUUUGAGCACUGUCUCGACAAUACAUCCGGUGAAAUUGAAGUACCAGUGAAGAUGCUGGUUACCCGCGCCAGGACGGAAAGACCCCAUGGAGCUUUACUCCAGUUUGGUACUGGGAUUCGGUACUGCACGUACAGGAUAGGUGGGAGACUUUGAAACUUGAACGCCAGUUUGAGUGGAGUCGCUGUUGGGAUACCACCCCUGCAGUAUUGGAUUUCUAACCAGUCACCGUGAUCCGGUGAUGGGACAAUGCCAGGCGGGGAGUUUGACUGGGGCGGUCGCCUCCGAAAGGGUAUCGGAGGCGCUCAAAGGUUCCCUCAGAAUGGUUGGAAACCAUUCGAAGAGUGCAAAGGCAGAAGGGAGCUUGACUGCGACACCGACGGGUGGAGCAGGUACGAAAGUAGGACUUAGUGAUCCGGUGGUAUAAAGUGGGAUUGCCAUCGCUCAACGGAUAAAAGCUACCCUGGGGAUAACAGGCUUAUCACUCCCAAGAGUUCACAUCGACGGAGUGGUUUGGCACCUCGAUGUCGGCUCAUCGCAUCCUGGGGCUGUAGUAGGUCCCAAGGGUUGGGCUGUUCGCCCAUUAAAGCGGUACGCGAGCUGGGUUCAGAACGUCGUGAGACAGUUCGGUCCCUAUCCGGCGCGGGCGGAGGAUAUCAGAGAGGAGCUGUCCUUAGUACGAGAGGACCGGGAUGGACGGACCGCUGGUGCAUCUGUUGGAUACCAGAUCCAUGGCAGAGUAGCCAAGUCCGGCAGGGAUAAACGCUGAAGGCAUCUAAGCGUGAAGCCCCCCUCAGGAUGAGAUAUCCCAUUCAUUAAGAAUGUAAGACCCCUUAGAGACUAUGAGGUAGAUAGGGCAUGGGUGUAAGUGCAGAGAUGCACUGAGCUGAAUGUCACUAAUAGGUCGAGGGCUUAUCCGG
RNAcentral lists this ribosomal RNA (968 nucleotides) under metagenome. RNAcentral's name for it is "bacterial LSU rRNA". It matches the Rfam family "Bacterial large subunit ribosomal RNA", at positions 1957 to 2925 of the family's 2925-position model. The record is from RNAcentral.